Molecule: unclassified non-coding RNA, 442 nt
Filed under: Hevea brasiliensis (rubber tree)
Lineage: Eukaryota; Viridiplantae; Streptophyta; Magnoliopsida; Malpighiales; Euphorbiaceae
Source: RNAcentral
UAUUUUAGAAUAAAUUAGCGCCUCUCUUUGCUCAGACAAGCGUCUGGACCUUGGGCGAUGGAGGACCUUCUCGCCUUAAGUCCGCCUAGUGCUUUUGACAACAUUGCUAACAUGUAAUGAUAGAUGUUAUAAGGAAAUAAAUAAUCAAAUUAUGUUAUUACUUAUUGUUGAUUGUUUCAAACUUGUCAUUGCCAUAAAUAAAUGUCCAGCAUAUCUAAAAUAUGUAAACAAUGAUAAUUUGAGAGAACUAUCCUGGAUUCCAAGUAAAAUUGUUAUAUAUCACAGAAAAGUUUCAUUCAAUUUUUAUCCAUUUGGAAGGAACUGCUUGUGGUUUACAUAUGUAGGAACCUAGCGCCUCACCUUGUGCAUUUAUUGAUAUUAAGUCCUGUCUUAAUGUUGAAAUUAUAUGUUUCCUAAAGGUAUGUGGGCCAUCUCAAGGAAA